This is a non-coding RNA of Exocentrus adspersus, 74 nucleotides long. Lineage: Eukaryota; Metazoa; Arthropoda; Insecta; Coleoptera; Cerambycidae. The record is from the annotation of a GenBank genome assembly.
GCCCUUGUAGUGUAGUGGUUAUCACGUCUCCUUUUACACGGAAAAGGUCCCCGGUUCGAACCCGGGCGAGGGCA